UACAUCAUUAUUUGUAAGUCGCUUUGGAUAAAAGCAUCUGCCAAAUGUUAUGUC
Regulatory RNA element from Astyanax mexicanus (Mexican tetra), 54 nucleotides. It matches the Rfam family "UnaL2 LINE 3' element". Rfam says of the family: The eel long interspersed element (LINE) UnaL2 and its partner short interspersed element (SINE) share a conserved 3' tail containing a stem-loop that is critical for their retrotransposition. The record is from Rfam. NCBI's taxonomy places the organism in Eukaryota, Metazoa, Chordata, Actinopteri, Characiformes, Acestrorhamphidae.